AGUGAACGCUGGCGGUAGGCCUAACACAUGCAAGUCGAACGGCAGCACAGUAAGAGCUCGCUCUUACGGGUGGCGAGUGGCGGACGGGUGAGGAAUACAUCGGAAUCUACUUUUUCGUGGGGGAUAACGUAGGGAAACUUACGCUAAUACCGCAUACUACCUACGGGUGAAAGCAGGGGAUCUUCGGACCUUGCGCGAUUGAAUGAGCCGAUGUCGGAUUAGCUAGUUGGCGGGGUAAAGGCCCACCAAGGCGACGAUCCGUAGCUGGUCUGAGAGGAUGAUCAGCCACACUGGAACUGAGACACGGUCCAGACUCCUACGGGAGGCAGCAGUGGGGAAUAUUGGACAAUGGGCGCAAGCCUGAUCCAGCCAUACCGCGUGGGUGAAGAAGGCCUUCGGGUUGUAAAGCCCUUUUGUUGGGAAAGAAAAGCAGCAGGUUAAUACCCCGCUGUUCUGACGGUACCCAAAGAAUAAGCACCGGCUAACUUCGUG
Molecule: ribosomal RNA, 492 nt
Filed under: uncultured bacterium
Lineage: Bacteria
Description: partial 16S ribosomal RNA
Rfam family: Bacterial small subunit ribosomal RNA
Source: RNAcentral